AUGGUGAUGCCGGCUUGCACCGGCAAGGAGAAAGGGACAUGUCUGCCGGUCGGCCUGCCAGCCGGCAGCCAUGGUGGCCAACUCCUUCUUUUGCUCGGACGAGAGGUUGUCCCAGAAAGCUUUGAAAAGGCCAUGGCGAGUGUAGUGCGGAGAGGAGAAAGGGACCGGAGGAGGAUGGUUGUGGCUGUGACCGGGACUAGAGUUUAUAUAGCGGGCGGAUGGCGAAAGGUCGUCACGGUGUGGUUAAUGGUGGGUGGUGGAGGGACGGACGGGUGGCGCCGGAGUAGGUUCCUUGGCAACCGCAUAACAUCAAUGUAA
This 318-nucleotide ribosomal RNA is filed under the name Triticum aestivum (bread wheat). RNAcentral's name for it is "partial small subunit ribosomal RNA". Lineage: Eukaryota; Viridiplantae; Streptophyta; Magnoliopsida; Poales; Poaceae. The record is from RNAcentral.